RNAcentral lists this ribosomal RNA (373 nucleotides) under uncultured organism. Its description in RNAcentral is "bacterial SSU rRNA". It matches the Rfam family "Bacterial small subunit ribosomal RNA", at positions 526 to 896 of the family's 1533-position model. The record is from RNAcentral.
CGUAGGGACCAAGCGUUGUUCGGAUUUACUGGGCGUAAAGGGCGCGUAGGCGGCGUGACAAGUCACUUGUGAAAUCUCUGAGCUUAACUCAGAACGGCCAAGUGAAACUGUUGUGCUAGAGUGCAGAAGGGGCAAUCGGAAUUCUUGGUGUAGCGGUGAAAUGCGUAGAUAUCAAGAGGAACACCUGAGGUGAAGACGGGUUGCUGGGCUGACACUGACGCUGAGGCGCGAAAGCCAGGGGAGCAAACGGGAUUAGAUACCCCGGUAGUCCUGGCCCUAAACGAUGAAUACUUGGUGUCUGGAGUUAUUAGUGCUCCGGGUGCCGUCGCUAACGUUUUUAGUAUUCCGCCUGGGGAGUACGCUCGCAAGAGUG